UACGGGGGGGCAAGCGUUGUUCGGAAUUACUGGGCGUAAAGGGCUCGUAGGCGGCCAACUAAGUCAUACGUGAAAUCCCUCGGCUUAACCGGGGAACUGCGUCUGAUACUGGAUGGCUUGAGUUCGGGAGAGGGAUGCGGAAUUCCAGGUGUAGCGGUGAAAUGCGUAGAUAUCUGGAGGAACACCGGUGGCGAAGGCGGCAUCCUGGACCGAUACUGACGCUGAGGAGCGAAAGCCAGGGGAGCAAACGGG
RNAcentral lists this ribosomal RNA (252 nucleotides) under uncultured bacterium. Its description in RNAcentral is "partial 16S ribosomal RNA". It matches the Rfam family "Bacterial small subunit ribosomal RNA", at positions 524 to 776 of the family's 1533-position model. The record is from RNAcentral.